RNAcentral lists this ribosomal RNA (465 nucleotides) under uncultured bacterium. Its description in RNAcentral is "partial 16S ribosomal RNA". It matches the Rfam family "Bacterial small subunit ribosomal RNA", at positions 339 to 795 of the family's 1533-position model. The record is from RNAcentral.
CUACGGGUCGCAGCAGUGAGGAAUAUUGCGCAAUGGGGGAAACCCUGACGCAGCGACGCCGCGUGGAUGAUGAAGGCCUUCGGGUCGUAAAAUCCUGUCAGAAGGAAAGAAGUGUAUGGUAGCUAAUAUCUGCCAUACUUGACGGUACCUUCAAAGGAAGCACCGGCUAACUCCGUGCCAGCAGCCGCGGUAAUACGGAGGGUGCAAGCUUUGUUCGGAAUUACUGGGCGUAAAGCGCGCGUAGGCGGUUUUAUAAGUCAGAUGUGAAAGUCCACGGCUCAACCAUGGAAGUGCAUUUGAAACUGUAAGACUUGAGUAUUGGAGGGGGUAGUGGAAUUCCCGGUGUAGAGGUGAAAUUCGUAGAUAUCGGGAGGAAUACCGGUGGCGAAGGCGACUAUCUGGCCAAAUACUGACGCUGAGGUGCGAAAGCGUGGGGAGCAAACAGGAUUAGAUACCCGCGUAGUC